ACGUGACGAGCCCACAACAUGCAUUUGUAUUGGAACCCUGGCUGUGUGAAGGCAGAACGAGUCAGAGUUUCCUAUUUUGGUCGCCGUUAAAGCUUCGAGGCAAGACGCAGAAUUGAACAUGGAAAGACCCAGCGUGAGUGUGAAACGGCCUGGAUGCUUGCAACAAGAUUGGACGGUUACAUACGCUUUUUUAUAAAGGCAGCAUAAGAUCUGCGAAUGCCUACGUGAACGGAAAGGUUGUGGUGUUCACAUGCAAAGUUGAUGGAAAUGACUCCGAUCAUACGUCGGAUGAAAUACCACUGAAUGUGACGAUCAAACGUCAGAGUACAAGCGGUAGCAAACACGUUGUCAAAGUCCAGUACAGUGGUGACGAUCUUAACGAUUACUUCUAGAAAUGGAAUUCAAGCUUUCCCCACUGGAAAAUAUAAUAAGACAUUAUUCAAGUGUGAUUACGCGUUUGUUUACGAUACAUUGAUCAAAUCUUUUUUUCAAAAUGUGACACAUCAGUUUUCUAAACAAAUUCUAAUUGUUCAGACAUUUUGCAGCCAACAUCAUUUAAACAUUUUUUUUCUAUUUUCGCAAUUUGUGGUAAAAAGUGACGGAACGGAAAGCUUAAUUUGAUUCUGAUUGGUUGUAAACACAUUUGAACAACGCAGCGAUAGUCAAUAAGUGGUUUGUUGUAAUUGAUCUGUAGGAUGAACAGUCUUUUUGUAUCAUGGUAAUAAAAUAACUAUUUACAAUUUCAAA
This is a long non-coding RNA of Haliotis rubra (blacklip abalone), 747 nucleotides long. RefSeq lists it as uncharacterized. The record is from RefSeq and is a predicted model, not a curated record. NCBI's taxonomy places the organism in Eukaryota, Metazoa, Mollusca, Gastropoda, Lepetellida, Haliotidae. The transcript is spliced from 5 exons.